GCGGAGAUAGCGAAGAGGUCAUAACGCGGAUGCCUUGAAAGCAUUUUGGGUGAAAGCUCACGGGGGUUCGAAUCCCUCUCUCCGCGCCA
This 89-nucleotide transfer RNA is filed under the name Methanobrevibacter sp. RNAcentral describes it as "tRNA-Ser". It matches the Rfam family "tRNA". Rfam says of the family: Transfer RNA (tRNA) molecules are approximately 80 nucleotides in length. Their secondary structure includes four short double-helical elements and three loops (D, anti-codon, and T loops). Further hydrogen bonds mediate the characteristic L-shaped molecular structure. tRNAs have two regions of fundamental functional importance: the anti-codon, which is responsible for specific mRNA codon recognition, and the 3' end, to which the tRNAs corresponding amino acid is attached (by aminoacyl-tRNA synthetases). tRNAs cope with the degeneracy of the genetic code in two manners: having more than one tRNA (with a specific anti-codon) for a particular amino acid; and 'wobble' base-pairing, i.e. permitting non-standard base-pairing at the 3rd anti-codon position. The record is from RNAcentral. Lineage: Archaea; Methanobacteriati; Methanobacteriota; Methanobacteria; Methanobacteriales; Methanobacteriaceae.